RNAcentral lists this ribosomal RNA (520 nucleotides) under uncultured Glomus. RNAcentral's name for it is "SSU rRNA". It matches the Rfam family "Eukaryotic small subunit ribosomal RNA", at positions 569 to 1090 of the family's 1831-position model. The record is from RNAcentral. Lineage: Eukaryota; Fungi; Glomeromycota; Glomeromycetes; Glomerales; Glomeraceae.
AGCAGCCGCGGUAAUUCCAGCUCCAAUAGCGUAUAUUAAAGUUGUUGCAGUUAAAAAGCUCGUAGUUGAAUUUCGGGAUCAAUACGUCGGUCGUGCUUCGGUACGUACUGGCGUAAUUGAUUUCUCCCUUCUGACGAACCAUGAUGUCAUUAACUUGGUGUCAUGGGAAAUCAGGACUGUUACUUUGAAAAAAAUUAGAGUGUUUAAAGCAGGCUCACGCUUGAAUACAUUAGCAUGGAAUAAUGAAAUAGGACGUUCGAUCCUAUUUUGUUGGUUUUUAGGAUCAACGUAAUGAUUAAUAGGGAUAGUUGGGGGCAUUAGUAUCCAAUUGUCAGAGGUGAAAUUCUUGGAUUUAUUGAAGACUAACUACUGCGAAAGCAUUCGCCAAGGAUGUUUUCAUUAAUCAAGAACGAAAGUUAGGGGAUCGAAGACGAUCAGAUACCGUCGUAGUCUUAACCAUAAACUAUGCCGACUAGGGAUCGGAUGAUGUUAAUUUUUUAAUGACUCAUUCGGCGCCUUA